Molecule: long non-coding RNA, 973 nt
Filed under: Nicotiana tabacum (common tobacco)
Lineage: Eukaryota; Viridiplantae; Streptophyta; Magnoliopsida; Solanales; Solanaceae
Description: long non-coding RNA (NTAB_LNC011765)
Source: RNAcentral
AAGAUUGGAUUGAGCUUUGUAUAAAGUAUAGCAUACGUUUGCAAGAAAAUUCGUGUCCUUUACAAUGACAACUGAGCUCACUAUUUAUAGCUAUGAAGAAGGUCCUAGGGUCGUGCCCUUCUUUAAUGUCAAUUAUGAGGGGCAUUGAUGAAGAUAUAACGGUGAACAUAAAUGUCAAAUUCCUUGUAACGGAUAACUGCUCUUAAUACCAUGAAAUAUUCUCUAUUAAAUGCUAUUGGGAGAAGAACAUUUAUCACAUCUUUAUGAACGUUAUUCUUUCCGGUGACAAACGAAACAGUUGCCUUCGGUCUUUAGCCAUCCCCUGUCUUGGGUUCCACAUGUCCCUUUUUCAGACGGCCACGUGUCAUAGCAUAGUUUAACCUAUACAUGUGUAAAUAAAUUAGAAAGAAAGGAUGAUGAAUUCACCAUUUUUUGCUAGGAGAAAAUAUUCGUUUAAAAAAUAAACUAUAUAACAUACCGUCCCAACCUUUUGAAAAUGAUUAAAAGUACUCUAAUGAUAAUCAAAACAAAGGAAAAGCCCAAAAUAUCAGCAAGGAGAUCCCAAAUCAGCCUAUAGCCCUUUUUCAAAAGAUUCGACAGUGAAAAAUAAGGAAGGAAAGCCCAGAAGAAAGUUUAGAAACUCACCAAGAGCUAGAGAGAUGAUCGCGAAGAAAGUGAAUUACGGAGAGCUUCUUAAACUCUCAAGCUGUACAAUGCAUUGCUGGAAGAAUUAUACCCAAAUGGUACUGUGUCCAUCUAAUGGGAUACACGUGGUUUGGCGUAAGAUACACGCCUGAAGAAGAAGACUAAAGAAAUUCAAUUAACAAUGAAAUGGGUCUAAAACCAAAUAGGAAUUAGGAUCUAUCAAAAUAACAUCACCAAGAAAUAGGUGCAACAAAGAAAGAAGGAGAAUGGAGUAAAAUCCAACAGAAAUCGCAAUUACACUGUACAAUAAAGUUAACGCCAUAAUCAC